RNAcentral lists this ribosomal RNA (440 nucleotides) under uncultured bacterium. RNAcentral describes it as "partial 16S ribosomal RNA". It matches the Rfam family "Bacterial small subunit ribosomal RNA", at positions 338 to 795 of the family's 1533-position model. The record is from RNAcentral.
CCUACGGGUGGCAGCAGUGGGGAAUAUUGGACAAUGGGGGGAACCCUGAUCCAGCGACGCCGCGUGAGUGAAGAAGUAUUUCGGUACGUAAAGCUCUAUCAGCAGGGAAGAAAAUGACGGUACCUGACUAAGAAGCCCCGGCUAACUACGUGCCAGCAGCCGCGGUAAUACGUAGGGGGCAAGCGUUAUCCGGAUUUACUGGGUGUAAAGGGAGCGUAGACGGUGCAGCAAGUCUGGUGUGAAAGGUCGGGGCCCAACCCCGGGACUGCAUUGGAAACUGUUGAACUGGAGUGCAGGAGAGGUAAGCGGAAUUCCUAGUGUAGCGGUGAAAUGCGUAGAUAUUAGGAGGAACACCAGUGGCGAAGGCGACUUACUGGACUGUAACUGACGUUGAGGCUCGAAAGCGUGGGGAGCAAACAGGAUUAGAUACCCUGGUAGUC